CACGCAGGCGGUCUGUCAAGUCGGAUGUGAAUUCCCCGGGCUCAACCUGGGAACUGCAUCCGAAACUGGCAGGCUAGAGUCUUGUAGAGGGGGGUAGAAUUCCAGGUGUAGCGGUGAAAUGCGUAGAGAUCUGGAGGAAUACCGGUGGCGAAGGCGGCCCCCUGGACAAAGACUGACGCUCAGGUGCGAAAGCGUGGGGAGCAAACA
RNAcentral lists this ribosomal RNA (207 nucleotides) under uncultured bacterium. RNAcentral describes it as "partial 16S ribosomal RNA". It matches the Rfam family "Bacterial small subunit ribosomal RNA", at positions 568 to 774 of the family's 1533-position model. The record is from RNAcentral.